AGGGCUUGACAUGUCGGAAGUAGCGAGCCGAAAGGUGAGCCAACUGUUGAGUCAGUAGCCGUCAC
This 65-nucleotide ribosomal RNA is filed under the name uncultured bacterium. RNAcentral describes it as "partial 16S ribosomal RNA". The record is from RNAcentral.